This is a long non-coding RNA of Lolium rigidum, 1203 nucleotides long. RefSeq lists it as uncharacterized. NCBI's taxonomy places the organism in Eukaryota, Viridiplantae, Streptophyta, Magnoliopsida, Poales, Poaceae. The record is from RefSeq and is a predicted model, not a curated record. The transcript has 5 exons.
GGUUGGAUAUGUUUUUAUAGGGUAAUUUGGAUUUUGAUGCUACCGCUCUAUACUGAAGACUAUUUGGAUUUUAAUGUAUCCAAGCAAUACUCCUCGCUGCCCUCCUCUCAGAAGCAGAUGGUGGUGAUGCGAUCGUUGGUGCGAUAGCUUGGCUGUACUGGCAAUUGGCAAACGAGGCCAUGGGUACCAACAUGGAAGGUAUCUCAGACCACCACGAGCGUUCUAUUUUGUUCAGGUGAUGCCCGCCGGGGAGGUUUCUCUUUGACACAGAUUGGUGACACGUGAUGCGUCCAUGUGUUAGGAUAUGUAAUUGAUGUUGCCACAAAGGGUUCCCAAAUUUUCUCAAAGAUGAUUGUUUCAUAUAUAUUUUAAUGUUGAAUGGGCACCAAUUUUACUUCAUGGGGCUCCUCGACUCAUGGUUUUGUCUAUCUCUGCUAACCCAGUGUCAUGUUUAUGGGUUGCUGCUCGUGUUGUUGCUGCUGCUCAUGUUCAUCCCGCCCUGCAUUCAUUCAAUGGAGGAGCACAUUUGAUGAACGAGGUCAACAAGCCAAGGACCAGGCCAAGGAAGGCAGUGUGAAAGGAGGUUUAACCAGGCAUUAAUUGGUCUCUAAAUUGGUAAAGGCGAUUGACUUGCAGCUAUUUCAUUUUUUAGCAACAUGGCGAGGAAGGGAUUAAUGGCGCUACAUCACUCCAACCUUUAUCCACCAGCGUUGGAUGGACCAAUUUUCCUCCCUCUACUAGCCCAUGGUGCUUGAUCCAUUUUUAUAUGGGUAGGAGGACAUAGCGGAAUUAAUGGAACGAAGAAAAAUGCUGCCGGAGAUGCAAGAUUAAUACAACAUGUUAUUUGGGUACUGGUUCUUUUUUAGUUACAUAUGCAAAAGGAUUGAGAAAAAGGCUUUGAUGUUGAUGUUGCUGUUGUGCAAAAGGAUUGGCACGACCUUGAUAUUGACAAUUGUCAAAGGUGCUGCUUUGUUGGGUAGGUAGCCUUGGUAGUUAAAAUAUUUAUUUACUUUGCUUAUAAAAUUCAAAAUGUGCAUCUAUUUUCCACUUCCAAAAUCCAUAGUCAAUGGCAAAAUGUGGUUAGACAGUUUGCACAACAUAAGAUUAGAAAUGAAAUCUAGGAUACUUUUAUAUUGUACUGUGGUGUAUAUGUAGUGCACGACUUUUGAUAUUAUUCAGUGGAUCCCUGUUGUGGUUUUUAUC